This 253-nucleotide ribosomal RNA is filed under the name uncultured prokaryote. Its description in RNAcentral is "partial 16S ribosomal RNA". It matches the Rfam family "Bacterial small subunit ribosomal RNA", at positions 524 to 776 of the family's 1533-position model. The record is from RNAcentral.
UACGGAAGGGGCUAGCGUUGUUCGGAAUCAUUGGGCGUAAAGGGCGCGUAGGUGGUCUUGUGUGUCUUCCGUGAAAGCCCACGGCUCAACCGUGGUAAGUCGGGAGAAACUGCAGGACUUGAGGCUGGGAGGGGCUGGUGGAAUUCCCUGUGUAGCGGUGAAAUGCGUAGAGAUGGGGGAGAACACUCGUGGCGAAGGCGGCCAGCUAGACCAGUUCUGACACUGAGGCGCGACAGCGUGGGGAGCAAACAGG